GAAUAUUAGUCAAUGCUCGAAAGAGUGAACUAGCUAACUGAAAUCAAUUAAAAUAAUUGAUAACAUAAGGGAAAAUAAUGAUAUUACCUUAUUAUUAGUGUCGUCCAAAACUGGUGCCAGAAGACUCGGUAAGGCCAGAGACACAAACGUUAAUCGUCUUAAUCAGGCGUAAAGGGUUUGUAGGCGGCUUUAAAAUUUAGUUAAAAAAUAUUUAAGUAAAGAAUAAAAGCUAGAAUCAAAUAGAGGAUAUAUGAAAGAAUGCUUAGAGUAGGUCUGAUAUCUUUAGAUACUAAGUAGAAUAUUAAAGGCGAAAGCUUUUUUCCAUUAAUGAUUGACGCUCAGAAACGAAGGUGAGGAUAGGAAAUAGGAUUAGAUACCCAGAAUACCCCUCUCUGUCAACGAUGAAUGGUAGUUAUUAGUAAAAAUUAUUAAUGGCAAUGUUAACACGAUAACCAUUCCGCCUUGUGAGUACAACUGCAAAGUUGAAAACAAAAAAAUUAGUCGGUUUCGGAGCAAACGAAGUGAAGCAUGUUAUUUAAUUC
RNAcentral lists this ribosomal RNA (542 nucleotides) under Russula versicolor. RNAcentral describes it as "partial 12S small subunit ribosomal RNA". It matches the Rfam family "Bacterial small subunit ribosomal RNA", at positions 359 to 952 of the family's 1533-position model. Lineage: Eukaryota; Fungi; Basidiomycota; Agaricomycetes; Russulales; Russulaceae. The record is from RNAcentral.